GAUGAACGCUGGCGGCGUGCCUAAUACAUGCAAGUCGAGCGAACGGACGAGAAGCUUGCUUCUCUGAUGUUAGCGGCGGACGGGUGAGUAACCCGUGGAUAACCUACCUAUAAGACUGGGAUAACUUCGGGAAACCGGAGCUAAUACCGGAUAAUAUUUUGAACCGCAUGGUUCCAACGUGAAAGACGGUCUUGCUGUCACUUAUAGAUGGAUCCGCGCUGCAUUAGCUAGUUGGUAAGGUAACGGCUUACCAAGGCAACGAUGCAUAGCCGACCUGAGAGGGUGAUCGGCCACACUGGAACUGAGACACGGUCCAGACUCCUACGGGAGGCAGCAGUAGGGAAUCUUCCGCAAUGGGCGAAAGCCUGACGGAGCAACGCCGCGUGAGUGAUGAAGGUCUUCGGAUCGGAAAACUCUGUUAUUAGGGAAGAACAUAUGUGUAAGUAACUGUGCACAUCUUGACGGUACCUAAUCAGAAAGCCACGGCUAACUACGUG
Molecule: ribosomal RNA, 497 nt
Filed under: uncultured bacterium
Lineage: Bacteria
Description: partial 16S ribosomal RNA
Rfam family: Bacterial small subunit ribosomal RNA
Source: RNAcentral